Molecule: ribosomal RNA, 314 nt
Filed under: Paenibacillus sp. MY03
Lineage: Bacteria; Bacillati; Bacillota; Bacilli; Caryophanales; Paenibacillaceae
Description: bacterial LSU rRNA
Rfam family: Bacterial large subunit ribosomal RNA
Source: RNAcentral
AGGUUAAGCUAGUAAGAGCGCACGGAGGAUGCCUAGGCACCAGGAGCCGAAGAAGGACGUGGCGAACAACGAUACCGCCUCGGGGAGCCGUAAGCAGGCUUUGAUCCGGGGAUUUCCGAAUGGGGAAACCCAGCUGGAGUAAUGUCCAGUUACUCUUGAGUGAAUACAUAGCUCAAGAAGAGGCAUACCGGGGGAACUGAAACAUCUAAGUACCCCGAGGAAGAGAAAACAAAAGUGAUUCCGUCAGUAGCGGCGAGCGAACGCGGAUUAGCCCAAACCAAGGAGCUUGCUCCUUGGGGUUGUAGGACAUCUCA